CGUGAGGGAAAGGCGAAAAGAACCCCGGCGAGGGGAGUGAAAAAGAACCUGAAACCGUGUACGUACAAGCAGUGGGAGCCUCUUUAUGGGGUGACUGCGUACCUUUUGUAUAAUGGGUCAGCGACUUAUAUUCUGUAGCAAGGUUAACCGAAUAGGGGAGCCGAAGGGAAACCGAGUCUUAACUGGGCGUUAAGUUGCAGGGUAUAGACCCGAAACCCGGUGAUCUAGCCAUGGGCAGGUUGAAGGUUGGGUAACACUAACUGGAGGACCGAACCGACUAAUGUUGAAAAAUUAGCGGAUGACUUGUGGCUGGGGGUGAAAGGCCAAUCAAACCGGGAGAUAGCUGGUUCUCCCCGAAAGCUAUUUAGGUAGCGCCUCGUGAAUUCAUCUCCGGGGGUAGAGCACUGUUUCGGCAAGGGGGUCAUCCCGACUUACCAACCCGAUGCAAACUGCGAAUACCGGAGAAUGUUAUCACGGGAGACACACGGCGGGUGCUAACGUCCGUCGUGAAGAGGGAAACAACCCAGACCGCCAGCUAAGGUCCCAAAGUCAUGGUUAAGUGGGAAACGAUGUGGGAAGGCCCAGACAGCCAGGAUGUUGGCUUAGAAGCAGCCAUCAUUUAAAGAAAGCGUAAUAGCUCACUGGUCGAGUCGGCCUGCGCGGAAGAUGUAACGGGGCUAAACCAUGCACCGAAGCUGCGGCAGCGACACUAUGUGUUGUUGGGUAGGGGAGCGUUCUGUAAGCCUGUGAAGGUGGCCUGUGAGGGUUGCUGGAGGUAUCAGAAGUGCGAAUGCUGACAUAAGUAACGAUAAAGCGGGUGAAAAGCCCGCUCGCCGGAAGACCAAGGGUUCCUGUCCAACGUUAAUCGGGGCAGGGUGAGUCGACCCCUAAGGCGAGGCCGAAAGGCGUAGUCGAUGGGAAACAGGUUAAUAUUCCUGUACUUGGUGUUACUGCGAAGGGGGGACGGAGAAGGCUAUGUUGGCCGGGCGACGGUUGUCCCGGUUUAAGCGUGUAGGCUGGUUUUCCAGGCAAAUCCGGAAAACCAAGGCUGAGGCGUGAUGACGAGGCACUACGGUGCUGAAGCGACAAAUGCCCUGCUUCCAGGAAAAGCCUCUAAGCAUCAGGUAACAUCAAAUCGUACCCCAAACCGACACAGGUGGUCAGGUAGAGAAUACCAAGGCGCUUGAGAGAACUCGGGUGAAGGAACUAGGCAAAAUGGUGCCGUAACUUCGGGAGAAGGCACGCUGAUAUGUAGGUGAAGCGACUUGCUCGUGGAGCUGAAAUCAGUCGAAGAUACCAGCUGGCUGCAACUGUUUAUUAAAAACACAGCACUGUGCAAACACGAAAGUGGACGUAUACGGUGUGACGCCUGCCCGGUGCCGGAAGGUUAAUUGAUGGGGUUAGCGGUAACGCGAAGCUCUUGAUCGAAGCCCCGGUAAACGGCGGCCGUAACUAUAACGGUCCUAAGGUAGCGAAAUUCCUUGUCGGGUAAGUUCCGACCUGCACGAAUGGCGUAAUGAUGGCCAGGCUGUCUCCACCCGAGACUCAGUGAAAUUGAACUCGCUGUGAAGAUGCAGUGUACCCGCGGCAAGACGGAAAGACCCCGUGAACCUUUACUAUAGCUUGACACUGAACAUUGAGCCUUGAUGUGUAGGAUAGGUGGGAGGCUUUGAAGUGUGGACGCCAGUCUGCAUGGAGCCGACCUUGAAAUACCACCCUUUAAUGUUUGAUGUUCUAACGUUGGCCCGUAAUCCGGGUUGCGGACAGUGUCUGGUGGGUAGUUUGACUGGGGCGGUCUCCUCCUAAAGAGUAACGGAGGAGCACGAAGGUUGGCUAAUCCUGGUCGGACAUCAGGAGGUUAGUGCAAUGGCAUAAGCCAGCUUGACUGCGAGCGUGACGGCGCGAGCAGGUGCGAAAGCAGGUCAUAGUGAUCCGGUGGUUCUGAAUGGAAGGGCCAUCGCUCAACGGAUAAAAGGUACUCCGGGGAUAACAGGCUGAUACCGCCCAAGAGUUCAUAUCGACGGCGGUGUUUGGCACCUCGAUGUCGGCUCAUCACAUCCUGGGGCUGAAGUAGGUCCCAAGGGUAUGGCUGUUCGCCAUUUAAAGUGGUACGCGAGCUGGGUUUAGAACGUCGUGAGACAGUUCGGUCCCUAUCUGCCGUGGGCGCUGGAGAACUGAGGGGGGCUGCUCCUAGUACGAGAGGACCGGAGUGGACGCAUCACUGGUGUUCGGGUUGUCAUGCCAAUGGCACUGCCCGGUAGCUAAAUGCGGAAGAGAUAAGUGCUGAAAGCAUCUAAGCACGAAACUUGC
RNAcentral lists this ribosomal RNA (2310 nucleotides) under Escherichia coli. RNAcentral describes it as "partial 23S ribosomal RNA". It matches the Rfam family "Bacterial large subunit ribosomal RNA", at positions 502 to 2797 of the family's 2925-position model. Lineage: Bacteria; Pseudomonadati; Pseudomonadota; Gammaproteobacteria; Enterobacterales; Enterobacteriaceae. The record is from RNAcentral.